GCAAGUCGAACGAACUUAGGCCUAGCUUGCUAGGAACGGUUAGUGGCAAACGGGUGAGUAACGCGUGGGAACCUACCUUUUAGUACGGAAUAGUCCCGGGAAACUGGGUUUAAUACCGUAUACGCUCUACGGAGGAAAGAUUUAUCGCUAAAAGAUGGGCCCGCGUUAGAUUAGCUUGUUGGUGAGGUAAUGGCUCACCAAGGCAACGAUCUAUAGCUGGUUUGAGAGGAUGAUC
RNAcentral lists this ribosomal RNA (235 nucleotides) under uncultured bacterium. RNAcentral's name for it is "partial 16S ribosomal RNA". It matches the Rfam family "Bacterial small subunit ribosomal RNA", at positions 57 to 305 of the family's 1533-position model. The record is from RNAcentral.